This is a long non-coding RNA of Oncorhynchus tshawytscha (Chinook salmon), 4710 nucleotides long. The record is from Ensembl. Lineage: Eukaryota; Metazoa; Chordata; Actinopteri; Salmoniformes; Salmonidae.
CUUGAACUCAGGCUCGCACGAGCGUUAACUGUCCUGUGAACACACAUUUGGCUUUCCCACCAGUGACGGUGCAAGUCAAUAUUAUGUAGGCUACUUUAAUGCUGUUGUAGCAAUCUUUCUUUGCGGAAGCUUGACGUCAAUCUAUAUAUAAAUAUAUAAAAAAUAACCGACAACCGACACUCGUGACUUUUAUGCAUUCCACGUGUGUCGUUCAACUGGGAUACACACACAACUUUGAUCUCGUCUGGAGAAAAUGAAAACAUACAGAAUACACUUUGUCAUGUGGACUGUCCUGGGAUUAGCAGCAGUCUUCAUCUCUUCCUCGGCCCUCUCAGGUGUGAAAGGAAUUGUGAAACAGAAGGUCCUCCUGCAUUGCCCCUGCGUAAAUAGAAAUGUGAGAAAGACAAUUAUCUGGCAGCUAGAAGAGCAUACCAUCGUGCUCCGUCAUGAUGGAAGUAAUAACCACACAACCAUAGGGGAGAGAUAUGAAAACAGGGUCAGUCUCUUUCUAAAUGAAGAGAAGGACAACUGUUCGCUGCUCCUCUCAGGCAUCACUGUGGCAGACAACGGGACAUACAAAUGCUCCUUUACAGCCAACGCUUUUGUCUACGAAAAAGUAAUUCUACAUGUGGCUGCGAGCUACAGUGUCUGUAUGGACCUCGUCUCAGACCAGGCUUCGGUGAGUUCCGGAGGGGGAGAGGGGUCGGGGGUGUACCAGUGUAAAGCCUCUGGGGGCUAUCCAGAGGGCCAGAUUCACUGGAAGCUGGAAGGACAUCCUCUGGUGAACCCCUCCAGGAGGGAUGUGACCCACUUGGACAACUUUACAGGACUCUACAGCCUGACCAGCAACCUGACCAUCGAGCUGAGUAAGGAUGAAACACUGCAAUGUGUGGUGGAGAACACAGCCUUGGCCUCCAACCUCACCUCCAACUCCAGCUGCAAUCAAAAGUCUAUGUCCUGGGAAGGUAGCGGUCAUUAUAAAGUAGAGGUUGCAGCAGUUGUGGCUGUCAGCCUUAUUGUGAUUUUUAUUGUGGGAGUCCUGCUGGUGUUCUUACUAACUAGAUGUCGCCGACAUGAAAGGUCAACGAGAGACACAGAGAGGCAGGAAAGAGGCGUGACCCAUUCGUUUAAUGUGUAUGAAGAUGACUCUGCCUGAAUGUGUAAAGCGUCUCCCCCCUCUGAUGCAACAAUCUCUCUUCAACUGGCAGACAACAAAAUGGAGGGAUGAUGAUAAGAGGAACUGAAACUUAAAAUAAGGCCUGUGUUCAAUGUAGAACUUGGAGCAACAUUGAGCAAUGUGUUGUGCCGUCAUGUCUGAACUAUUCUUUGUUGUGUUACGCAAAGAGGCAAACGGCGCCUGAAAGUGGUUAAUCAUGGUUUUCCCUAGUUCGCUGACACUGAACUGAACCCUGAGUUAUGAAUAUGAUGACGAGAGCAGAGUACAAAAUGUGGCCAUGGAGACAAGGUUUAAGAACUAAAAGAGAAGAGAAGAACAGCAUGAUGGGAGAAAUGACUGUGAUCAAUGAACCGAAAGUGAGCUAGACUCAGUGAAUGAAGCCCCCCCCCCCAAAAAAAGGGAGCCUGUGUAUUGCAAUUGUAGAGUUUACUCACUUCUUAAAGUACAGGUGCUUUCAUAUUUCUAAGAAGAGUAACAUAAUCAAACCAGACUACUGUAGUUAUAUAGCUGAUACAUGACUGAAUAGCCAUCGUUGUCUUUAUGCAUUUUGUAUACUGCAUGUUCCUGGUGUUGGUCUAAUGUAGAUCUGUCUGCUCUAAACAAGAUUUCCCUCUGUAAAUGCCAAACUGGAAUGGGGGAGCCCCUACUGUGCUAUUAAAACCCCUUAUAAUGUCACUGGUCACAUUAUAAGGAAGCUGCAGUAGGAAGUGACUACUUUGCUGAACCAUUUGAAUCAUGCUGAGGAUUCAAACGAUUUGGUUUUAUGUUAGACCAAAUGAUUAGUUUUAAUGUAAAUAGUCAAUGACGUUAUUUUACUUAGAAUUCUGAAUUUAAUUCUCUGAAUGUGUGAAGAAUUGGACAUGUUAAUUGCUUAUUGUUAUGUAGCUUGCUGUGAACUAAGAGACCAUGACAUGUGAUGACUAAUGUCAAGGAUUAUUCAAUUUACAAAUGUCAAGCAAAUUAUCUGUUUACUCCAGUUUAAAGGUCUUCACAGGUCCACCUGAAUAUUCCAGACUUGACUUGGGACCGGGUCUGAAAUGAAAUCUUUUCGUUCUGGUCUGGGUCGUGUCCUGUUUGAUUGUCAUCAGGUGUCAAGUCUAUGUACUGUAAGCACAGAUCAAGGCUUUGCAUAGCCUAUAGAGGGCUUGACGUACGAUGCCUCCUGACGGUCAUGUUUGAAGACCACGGCAUUCAUUAUUCUGUUCUGACAACAACAGCCAAGUGACUACACCAAACUGCAUGAUAACAGUGGCCAGUGCCGACCCGUCAUUCAGGGCAGGUGGAGCUUUUGAGACCCACAUUUUUAGAAAAAAAUUUUUUGGCAGGGCUUGCCUGUUUUGCAUGUUAUUUUGGCAUUAAUACGUGUCACAUAUCAGUUUGCAAACAAUGUAAAAAAACACACACAAAAAAAAACACUCGUUCAAACGUUUGGGGUCACUUAUAAAUAUCCUUGUUUUUAAAGACAUACAGUAUAGACAUGGUUAAUGUUGUAAAUGACUAUUGUAGCUGGAAAAGGCAGAUUUUUAAUGCAAUAUCUACAUAGGUGUACAGAGGCCCAUUAUCAGCAACCAUCACUCCUGUGUUCCAAUAUAGAUCAAACGUAUCGGUGCUCGUCGGCCAUUGGACAUAAACAUUACACAACAAGUUGGAAAUUGCAAAUUCAACAAUGAGUGGUUUGUAAGGAAGUGAGCACAACUAGGUGAUACUUUAUACUGAUACAUAAAUGAUGUAAUAUGCCAGGGAGUUAUGUAUACUGUAGCUAAGAAAGUAAUACUACGUGUGUGGUGUGUAGUAAGCUGUUAGUACCCCAUGUGCCUCACGUUAAUAAUUUGGUCCCUUUUCCCCUCUUUCGCCUACUGUUCUGACUUGGUGGUGCACAUGCACAUGUAGUCUAUAGCCUGUUUUAGAGAAAUGUAAUCAUAGAAUAUUAUAAGAGCUUUCAUUGUCUGCUUAUUUGGCCCCGUUAUUUAUUCUACGGUUCUGACUUGAUGUACAAAGAGAAUACUGUAAAAAUGCCCAUGAUCUGUCGCUGUAUACUGCAUGUUCCUGGUGUUGGUCUAAUGUAGAUCUGUCUGGUCUAAACAAGAUUUCCCUCUGUAAAUGCCAAACUGGUAUGGGGGAGCCCCUACUGUGCUUUUAAAACCCCUUAUAAUGUCACUGGUCACAUUCAAAGGAAGCUGCAGUAGGAAGUGACUACUUUGCUGAACCAUUUGAAACAUGCUGAGGAUUCAAACUAUUAGUUUUGAUUCGUUUUCAUGUAAACGAUUCCUCCUGGUGGUCAUGUUGGAAGACCACGGCAUAAAUUAUUCAGUUCUGACAACAACAGCCAAGUGACUACACCAAACUGCAUGAUAACAGUGGCCAGUGCCGACCCGUCAUUCAGGGCAGGUGGGGCUUUUGAGACCCACAUUUUUAGAAAAAACAUUUUUGGGGGGGCUUGCAUUAAUACAGGUCACAUAUCAUUUUACAAACAAUGUAAAAAAGAUAUGUAUCAUUGAGUUAAUAAAGCCGCAUACAAACAUGGUCUCUUUUUGUGUUUUCUUGAGUAAGGCAGCUCCCAAAUGCAGGUGUUUCUGCCCAGCUCAGUGCUUUCUGUGGUGGGGAGGCAAGCCAGCAGGUUGAGGUUGGGGGAUUAUGGAUGCCAGGUCAUCUGAUGCAGCACUCCAUCACUCUCCUUGGUCAAAUAGCCCUUACACAGCCUGGAGGUGUGUUGGGUCAUUGUCCUGUUGAAAAACUAAUGAUAGUCCCACUAAGCCCAAACCAGAUGGGAUGGUCGAACUUCCGGCGCCGACAGAGAUGGCCGCCUCGCUUCGCGUUCCUAGGAAACUAUGCAGUUUUUUGUUUUUUUUACGUGUUAUUUCUUACAUUAGUACCCCAGGUCAUCUUAGGUUUCAUUACAUACAGUCGAGAAGAACUACUGAACAUAAGAGCAGCGUCAACUCACCAUCAGUACGACCAAGAAUAUGACUUUCGCGAAGCGGAUCCUGUGUUCUGCCUUUCACCCAGGACCACGGAAUGGAUCCCAGCCGGCGACCCAAAAAAACAACUUCGUAAAAGGGGGAAACGGAGCGGUCUUCUGGUCAGACUCCGGAGACGGGCACAUCGUGCACCACUCCCUAGCAUUCUUCUCGCCAAUGUCCAGUCUCUUGACAACAAGGUUGAUGAAAUCCGAGCAAGGGUAGCAUUCCAGAGGGACAUCAGAGACUGUAACGUUCUUUGCUUCACGGAAACAUGGCUCACUGGAGAGACGCUAUCGGAGUCGGUGCAGCCAACUGGUUUCUCCACGCAUCGCGCAGACCGAAACAAACAUCUUUCUGGUAAGAAGAGGGGCGGGGGCGUAUGCUUCAUGGUUAACGUGACGUGGUGUGAUCAUAACAACAUACAGGUACUCAAGUCCUUCUGUUCACCUGAUUUAGAAUUCCUCACAAUCAAAUGUCGCCCUGUGCAACUGGGUACUGGACUUCCUGACGGGCCGCCCCCAGGUGGUGAGGGUAGGCAACAACAUUUCCACCCCGCUGAUCCUCAACACUGGG